Anthonomus grandis grandis is the source of this 486-nucleotide long non-coding RNA. RefSeq lists it as uncharacterized. Lineage: Eukaryota; Metazoa; Arthropoda; Insecta; Coleoptera; Curculionidae. The record is from RefSeq and is a predicted model, not a curated record. The transcript has 2 exons.
CAGGUGCGGUUUUAUAAACUUUGCUUUUUAAAUACCCCCAAAGGAAAAACUUGUGUUAAUUCUGACGACCGUGCGAGACAUUCAAUUGCACUAUGCCUGCUAAUCCACACCCCUGGAAACUGUUUGUUAAGCGAUUCUUGAACUGACAAAGAGUAGUGUGGGAGAGCACCAUCUUGUUGGAAAUUUGUCCAGUUAAAUUUUCUUCCAAAAAAAAUGGAUACUGAGUAUGAUCUUCUCAAAAAAGGUGUAGAUUUUUAUUAUCCCAGUAUUACCAGUCUAGAAAAGUUGACUCAUCACUGAAGAAGAUCUUUAUUAAAUGAGGGUCCUUGUCAAUUCGCUGGUGUAUCAGUUUGCAAAAUUCAAUUUUCAAAGAUUUGAAUUUUGUAGGAAAUUGUUUCAAAGUUUUGUAUAAAAAACCUGUUGAAAUAUUAGUUAGCUCUGUGUCUUUGGGGACAGAUAAUGUUGGACAUACAUAUUUGCUUACUA